AGUGAACGCUGGCGGUAGGCCUAACACAUGCAAGUCGAACGGCAGCACAGUAAGAGCUUGCUCUUACGGGUGGCGAGUGGCGGACGGGUGAGGAAUACAUCGGAAUCUACUUUUUCGUGGGGGAUAACGUAGGGAAACUUAUGCUAAUACCGCAUACGACCUACGGGUGAAAGCAGGGGAUCUUCGGACCUUGCGCGAUUGAAUGAGCCGAUGUCGGAUUAGCUAGUUGGCGGGGUAAAGGCCCACCAAGGCGACGAUCCGUAGCUGGUCUGAGAGGAUGAUCAGCCACACUGGAACUGAGACACGGUCCAGACUCCUACGGGAGGCAGCAGUGGGGAAUAUUGCACAAUGGGCGCAAGCCUGAUCCAGCCAUACCGCGUGGGUGAAGAAGGCCUUCGGGUUGUAAAGCCCUUUUGUUGGGAAAGAAAAGCAGCAGGUUAAUACCCCGCUGUUCUGACGGUACCCAAAGAAUAAGCACCGGCUAACUUCGUG
This 492-nucleotide ribosomal RNA is filed under the name uncultured bacterium. Its description in RNAcentral is "partial 16S ribosomal RNA". It matches the Rfam family "Bacterial small subunit ribosomal RNA", at positions 29 to 507 of the family's 1533-position model. The record is from RNAcentral.